RNAcentral lists this ribosomal RNA (460 nucleotides) under uncultured bacterium. RNAcentral's name for it is "partial 16S ribosomal RNA". It matches the Rfam family "Bacterial small subunit ribosomal RNA", at positions 338 to 795 of the family's 1533-position model. The record is from RNAcentral.
CCUACGGGAGUCAGCAGUGAGGAAUAUUGGUCAAUGGACGCAAGCCUGAACCAGCCAAGUAGCGUGCAGGAUGACUGCCCUACGGGUUGUAAACUUCUUUUAUACAGGGAUAAAGUGAGACACGUGUGCCUGUUUGUAUGUACUUUAUGAAUAAGGAUCGGCUAACUCCGUGCCAGCAGCCGCGGUAAUACGGAGGAUCCGAGCGUUAUCCGGAUUUAUUGGGUUUAAAGGGAGCGUAGAUGGUUUGUUAAGUCAGUUGUGAAAGUUUGAGGCUCAACAGUAAAAUUGCAAUUGAUACUGGCAGACUUGAGUAUAGUUGAGGUAGGCGGAAUGCGUGGUGUAGCGGUGAAAUGCUUAGAUAUCACGCAGAACACCGAUUGCGAAGGCAGCUUACUAAACUGCCACUGACAUUGAUGCUCGAAAGUGUGGGUAUCAAACAGGAUUAGAUACCCGUGUAGUC